GACGAACGCUGGCGGCGUGCUUAACACAUGCAAGUCGAACGGAAAGGCCCUGCUUGCCGGGUGCUCGAGUGGCGAACGGGUGAGUAACACGUGGGUGAUCUGCCCUGCACUUCGGGAUAAGCCUGGGAAACUGGGUCUAAUACCGGAUAGGAGCCAUUUUUAGUGUGAUGGUUGGAAAGUUUUUUCGGUGUAGGAUGAGCUCGCGGCCUAUCAGCUUGUUGGUGGGGUAAUGGCCUACCAAGGCGGCGACGGGUAGCCGGCCUGAGAGGGUGGACGGCCACAUUGGGACUGAGAUACGGCCCAGACUCCUACGGGAGGCAGCAGUGGGGAAUAUUGCACAAUGGGCGCAAGCCUGAUGCAGCGACGCCGCGUGGGGGAUGACGGCCUUCGGGUUGUAAACUCCUUUCGCUAGGGACGAAGCUUUUUGUGACGGUACCUAGAUAAGAAGCACCGGCUAACUACGUG
RNAcentral lists this ribosomal RNA (465 nucleotides) under uncultured bacterium. Its description in RNAcentral is "partial 16S ribosomal RNA". It matches the Rfam family "Bacterial small subunit ribosomal RNA", at positions 28 to 507 of the family's 1533-position model. The record is from RNAcentral.